GUUUGAACAUGAUAGGCCAUGUCAUGCUGCAGCAAGAGAAACAAGUGAGGGUAAGGAGUAGAGUACCAGCAGUGGGAAUAACAUGUGAAGCACUGAACCAAGUCAUGAACAGAGAUUACAUUCACACAACAAGCCACUCAUAAUUUCAAAGUACAAACCAAAGCACACUUGCAUUUAGCAGUUACCAAUUCAGCAGGUUACAUUUGAUCCAAUCACUUAAUCCUAAUCCUAAUGCUACCUGCUACAUCCUGUUGCGUACCAAAUCCAUUAACAUUCACACAACAAGCCAUUCAUUACUUCAAGCCAAAGCAAAGUCACUCAAGUUCAACCUGCAACAUGAACAUCAAGUCAUUAAAAACCAUUCCAAUAUAACCUCAAUCCAAUCCUAACCUGCAACAGCUAGUCAGGUUUCAAUUCACUCAUUCAUUAAUCAACUCAAGCUAACAUAACUAACUGAGUUUAUCACUCACUAACCAACUGAGUUUUCAGUUAACUCGGUGAGUCAUGUCCAACUAACUCCAAACCAUAUUUAACUAACUCCUAACCAUAUUCAAAAGCUAACAAGUUCCAAGACUAGCCUUUAUUUAAGAAAUUCAUCUCUCACAUUUUCACCACCCUUGGAAAUUUGUUGGAACCUGCGCAUUCUCUCUAUUGCAACCUCUUCCCUCACCCUACUCAAAGCUCUAUUUCCCCCAAGAAGCCAUUGAAGCUUCACAUCGAAGCUUCAAUUUUGCUAGAGGUAAGACGCAACAUCCUUACUCUCACUGUUCUCAAACUCAGAAAAAGAAGAAUGAGACGAAAGAAGAAGAAGAAGAAAGAAUCAAGCUCAGGAAACUUAUCGGUGGAUUUUCCGAUCAUCUUCUCUAGUAUGCAUUUCUUAUUCCGUGGCAUUUUCUUUCUUUGAGCACACCAGGUUGUAGAAUUUAGGGUAAGAAGUAGAAGCCCCUUAGUGUUAGAGUUUGAUUUGCACCGAGCACUGUUUAAUUUGAUUUGUAGGAGGUUAGGGUUCGUCUAGUUAUCCGUCCAAUUCGACCGAUACAGGGACUAUUGCAUAAUUUCAUCCCCAUAUUCAUGAUUAGCUUGUCUUUGUGAUUCUAUUGGUGGUGGUAGUUAGUUUGUAAGCCAACACUGGCAUCGGCGAUGGCCGCCGGCGCGAUGAGCCAAGUGAACUGACGGCGAGAUGGAUAGAAGGUUGGGCGCGCUGUGAGUUUCAUUUUGAAUCAGUUGACUUAGACAAGUCAACAAAGGAGAGAGGAUAUGGAAUUAAUCCUUGCAAGGCCUAUAAAUUUAUUUGUUAAACGCGUUGUAUUUCUAAUACACCCCCACUGGUUAUUAGAAGAAGUUGAACUGGGCUUGACCAAGCCCAUUGGUACCUUUUGCUAAUUCACCACAUGUUUCCAACGUAUACCCCCUGGAAAUGUUUGAGAUUUUGAUUAGGCUCAGACGCAACCUAUGUACGUUUUCG
RNAcentral lists this long non-coding RNA (1465 nucleotides) under Lathyrus oleraceus (garden pea). RNAcentral describes it as "Pisum sativum (pea) long non-coding RNA (PSAT_LNC025305)". Lineage: Eukaryota; Viridiplantae; Streptophyta; Magnoliopsida; Fabales; Fabaceae. The record is from RNAcentral.